GGACCCGACUGCUAUCAGAGUGGGAAUAAGCCCUGCGAGUCAACAUAGCAAUAUGUGGCAUACGGGUCAGUAACACGUAGUCAACAUGCCCAGGGGACGUGGAUAACCUCGGGAAACUGAGGAUAAACCGCGAUAGGUCAUCACUUUUGGAAUGGGUAAUGACUUAAAUUUAUAUGGCCCCUGGAUUGGACUGCGGCCGAUCAGGCUGUUGGUGAGGUAAUGGCCCACCAAACCUGUAACCGGUACGGGCUUUGAGAGGAGGAGCCCGGAGAUGGGCACUGAGACAAGGGCCCCGGCCCUAUGGGGCGCAGCAGGCGCGAAACCUUUGCAAUAGGGGAAAGCUUGACAGGGUUACUUUGAGUGAUUUCCGUUAAGGAGAUCUUUUGGCACCUCUAAAAAUGGUGCAGAAUAAGGGGUGGGCAAGUUUGGUGU
RNAcentral lists this ribosomal RNA (432 nucleotides) under uncultured archaeon. Its description in RNAcentral is "bacterial SSU rRNA". It matches the Rfam family "Archaeal small subunit ribosomal RNA", at positions 19 to 458 of the family's 1478-position model. The record is from RNAcentral.